Cucumis sativus (cucumber) is the source of this 1467-nucleotide long non-coding RNA. RefSeq lists it as uncharacterized. The transcript is spliced from 6 exons. The record is from RefSeq and is a predicted model, not a curated record. NCBI's taxonomy places the organism in Eukaryota, Viridiplantae, Streptophyta, Magnoliopsida, Cucurbitales, Cucurbitaceae.
AAACCCUUACCGAACGAAAGCUUUAACCCUUGUGCGAUUCCGGCAUCAACCCUCAAUCCGACCAUCACGUUCCGUCUUCAAAUGCCAUCGAGAAGGUGACCGUGGCGACGAUGAUAGGGGAGGUGGCUGCUUUGGUGGUCGUUGAGGCGGAGGCUUUCGUGAUGAGGGUUUUCCAUUUGAAGUCAUCGAGGUUUCUACUUUUCUUCAUGCAUGUGAGGGAGAUGCGGUCACAAAGUUCACAAAUGAGAAGAUUCCUUUCUCUAAUGCCCCUAUUUAUCUCUAGAACAAAGACUCAAAUAGAAAAAGUUGAUGAAAUUUUCGAUCCCAUCAAUGAAUCUAUGAGUUCACUGGCCUUGAUUUUGUUUGUUGUUUAGUUUUGAUAUAUGAUGAAAGGUGUUGUUUUCAUUAAAAAAAUGAUAAAUCAUUGUUUUUUUUAAUCUGAUUCCCGUACUUCUCAAUCAAAAUGAUGGAAGAAAUUGUACAAAUUAUAUAUUCCUUACAUGGAGUUGGCAUGAUCGGCGUCCAUGCUGCAGAUUAACAUCAUCUAUCUGACCAAUUUUAUUUGUAGAUUACAAAUUAUAUAUUAAAUGAAAAAGAAAAUUAUCAUUUCUUUUACAUCUAUGUAAUGGUACUCAUGUAUAGUAGUUGUGCCUCUACUCUAGUAUAAUAUAUAUUCAUGGUUGUCUAAUGUGAUUUCAACACUUCUAUUUAUGAAUUCAUGAAGCUAGUGGGCUGAUUUUAAAUUGCUAGGAUGAUCAACCUGCUAGGGAAGGAAAGGCAGUAUUUGUUGAAGGAAUUCCCCGUGAACUGGUUUCUUGUAAGAAGUAUUGUAAAGUUUUGAAGGUUGGGUUGUGGUAAUGGAAGCACCGUUAUUCCAAUCUUGCGGUAACCUCCAACCAAGCUAAUUUUAAAGGUGUCAAGUGUAUUUUGAUGUAUUUUGAUUUUGGGGAAGAAUUCAGAUGACAAAAGCAUCAAGAAGUCGAUCGUCGGUCUGGAAAGUUAGUGAUAAACAUCCAGGUUGGAUAUGCUUCAGCUGAGACUUUUUAGUUCAAUAGAGAAUCAUACAACAUUUUAGUUGGAGGUAUAUCUUUUCUGUUAAAUUUUUCAUGUAGGAUUUUGGUAUUUUUUUUCGAUGCACAUGGUCGUAUCAGGUACGAUUUUCUCAAAUAAUUCUCGGAUUUUUGUUUUUCGCUCAUUAACUUGUUUAGUUUGUUACUGAAUUCUACCUUCCAAUUCUACCAAUAAUAUUCAACCAGGUAUUUAUUUGGAUUAAAUUUGCUGAGAUAAAAUUUCUAUGGCUGGGCUGGGAUGCAGGGGAGGAAUUCAUUAGGUUCAACUGGAAUCGACAACUUCAUGAGUUUACUUUCAAAGAACACUUUCAGAGACGAACAUUCUCGGUUGGUCGUUUAUGUUUUAGCAGAAAAUCUUGUUAUAUGUAUUCUGAUGCAAUUUAAAAUAUUUUUUGAU